UCGGUCACUGCACAUCUGUUAUUCAGUUCACUCACAGACAGCAAACCAAGGGGUUGUGCUGUCUCCUUGUCUCCCAGGGAUAAACCCACAUGACAGUUUACAAAAACAGGUAAUCAUAAGAAGCAAAUGGCCCAGAUGAAACACAGCAAAAGAAUGAGAAGUGGUAACACUGGGAGUGAAAUUUGAACCAAGCGUAAAUGGAGUGAUCGUAGAAAUAGCUGACUGUGGAAUGUGGACACUCUCUGUAUCUGCAGCCUGGGAAGCUUAAAGAAGGUGAACUUACUGACACCAGUUAGAAAGUGACUGUGAUGAAACGAUGAAGAUGCUCCAGAGGAAGUGACACCAGCAAUAGGAAAAAAAAAACAAACCUCUCACUGAAGGAACUCUCGGAGAUAUUUCAUGACACAGAAGGCACAAAGGAUACAAUAUUGGCAACUAAUCGAAACUUAGAAAUGAUAUGACAGCUCACCAAGGCAUAGAAAAAGAUGCUUGCUCUAUCAUAAGUUAUAGAAUGAGAAGAAGAGAAAAUAAGCUGUCAUUAUCGGAAUGAUCAAACACAGAGAGAAAAGAGGCAGAGGUGAGAAGAUGGAGAAGAUGAAUACAUUUGCUUUCAGCAAACCAAUGGAAGUCCAUUUGCAUGAUCUGAAAAGGAAAAUGAGAAGCUAAUUUUUCUAUACAAGGCAGAAUUUAAGAAAUACAAUUCCUAAGGACUCCAGUGGAUACAGCUCUGGUUCCUGGACUUCGUGUUUUGGCUUGGUCUUUCUGCUUUUUCAAUUUUGUCACUGGUAAGACUGGCCCCACCUCACCCAUGAGGAGCACAUUUUCAAGGUUAAAAUGCUGAGUUAAUUAGAGAAAGUGGUGUUAUUAACUGAAUGGCAAUAGAGAAGCAGCAGCAAUUGAGGGAAAGGAGAUGAUAAGUUGUUUUGGGGCAUGGUGAAUUUGAGAUAUCUUGCAGAACAUUCAGAUCAAGGUUCUUAUGACCCCUGAAGUUGUCACGUGUUAACCAGAAAACAGAUCUGCCAGGUGCGGUGGUUCACACCUGUAAUCCCAACACAUUGGGAGGUCGAGGCGGGAAGAUCACUUGAGGCCAGAAGUUCAAGACCAGCCUGGCCAACAUGGCAAAACCUUGUCUCUACUAAAAAUGCAAAAAAUUAGCCUGGUGUGGUGGCAGGUGCCUGUAAUCCCAGCUACUUGGGAGGCUGAGGCAUGAUAAUCAUUUGAACCUGGGAGGCAAAGGUUGCAGUGAGCCAAGAUUGCACCACUGCUCUCCAGCCUGGGCAACAGAGUAAGAGUCUGCCU
RNAcentral lists this long non-coding RNA (1299 nucleotides) under Homo sapiens (human). RNAcentral's name for it is "HSALNT0153615". The record is from RNAcentral. Lineage: Eukaryota; Metazoa; Chordata; Mammalia; Primates; Hominidae.